AUGCCUUCUAUCUAUAUUAAUGUCACCUUGGCCUUCAUUACAUCUCUAGCAGGAAUAAUAAUUUACCGAUCUCAUCUAAUGUCUCAUUUCUAUGUCUAGAAGGCAUAAUGCUGUCAGUAUUCAUCAUGAGCAUCCUUAUAACCUUGAAUUUACAUUUCAUUUUAGCAUCCAUAUUACCCAUUAUCCUUCGCAGCCUGCAAAGCCACCAUAGGCUUAGCCUUACUAGUUAUGGUCUCCAGCACCUAUGGCCUAGACUAUAUAUAAAACUUAAACCUUCUUCAG
This 282-nucleotide long non-coding RNA is filed under the name Homo sapiens (human). Its description in RNAcentral is "non-protein coding lnc-ASAH1-2:1". The record is from RNAcentral. Lineage: Eukaryota; Metazoa; Chordata; Mammalia; Primates; Hominidae.